CACACACACACACACACACACACACACACACACACACUUUACAUUCAGGGUGAGAGUGUGGACUGCUGGUGUGGUGCAUCUCUUAUUUUUUUGCUAUAUAUUUCAAGUGCAAACCGUUUUGUUCCUCUCGGCGGUUGAUUUUGGGGAAGACCUCGCCAUAUAUUUAAGGCAUAAAACUUUAUUUCUUUUGACAGACAAGGACGAGGAUCUCUGGAUGACGGUGUUAAACUCUAAUAAUAAAGGAGGAAGUGAGGCAGGGCAGUCAGCAAGGGCACCUCAGGUCUACGUGGCUCAGUUUCUACUUCCGUACACUCGACGAGGCAUUUCCUUUAACACCAGAUCCUGGCGCAUCACUGAAGGUCGGGUGACCAAAUAUGGUCAAAUCUGGUGCUCUCUGACACCCCAAAAUACUAUAUAUACCUGGCGGUCCUAAGUCUGGCAUCAGACGAACUCACAUUCACAUCUCGCGAUGAACAUUCUUUCCUUCCUCUUGGCGCUGGUGAUGGCCGCAUCCGCCGUGCUGGCCAGCAAGAAGGGCGGUUUUGGUGGCCUCCGACCUCAACCUGUCUUUGUGCAACCCGUCUUCCAUCCCGUAGGAUUUGGAGGAGGAUUUGGCAAAGGAUUUGGUGGAGGAUUUGGAGGAGGAUUUGGCAAAGGAUUUGGUGGAGGAUUUGGAGGAGGAUUUAGAAGAGGAUUUGGCGGUGGAUUCGGCAAAAAGGGCAAAGGCUUCAAAGGCUGAAAUCCCCGCAAAGACGUUGGUUCAGCUGCUGCUUCUGCGGGUACUGUAGCCACGUGAUUCUGUUUCGCUAGUCGCCGCCGCCAACCUUGUUACCAGCAUGCCUUGCCGUGAUGGAUGCUGGCACUUUGUCCAUACAUUUUUAUAAGAAAUAAAGGAUUGUAAAGAAG
This is a long non-coding RNA of Eriocheir sinensis (Chinese mitten crab), 906 nucleotides long. RefSeq lists it as uncharacterized. The record is from RefSeq and is a predicted model, not a curated record. The transcript has 2 exons. NCBI's taxonomy places the organism in Eukaryota, Metazoa, Arthropoda, Malacostraca, Decapoda, Varunidae.